AUGGGCGUCUUACGGAGCACGCAGAGCAUGCAGGCUGAGGUGGAGGAGAUGCGCGCCGCGCUCUUCCACGGGGGCGGGGGCGCGGCCGGGUGGCGCCCCUCGGCCGGCGACAACGACGUCAAGCGCGCGGUCGACGGCGACGAAGGCGCGGCGGGCCCGCGCACCGUGUGCGUCACCGGCGGCAUAUCGUUCGUCGGCUUCGCCAUCGUCGACCGCCUCCUCCGCCACGGAUACACCGUGCGCCUCGCCCUCGAGACACAAGAGGACCUGGAUAAGCUAAGGGAGAUGGAGAUGUUCGGGGAGGACGGCCGGGACGGGGUGUGGACGGUGAUGGCGAAUGUGAUGGAACCCGAGAGCCUGCACCGGGCGUUCGACGGCUGCACAGGCGUGUUCCACACCUCGGCGUUCGUUGAUCCCGGGGGCAUGUCCGGCUACACGAAACAUAUGGCUAGCUUGGAAGCCCAAGCAGCGGAGCGGGUGAUCCAAGCGUGCGUGAGGACGGAAUCCGUCAGGAAGUGCGUCUUCACCUCGUCCUUGCUGGCCUGCGUGUGGAGGCAAAACCACCCUCAUGAAAGACGGGGCCCGACCAUCGUCGACGAGAACUGCUGGAGCGACGAGAGCUUCUGCCGCAACAACAAGUUAUGGUUUGCACUCGGCAAGACGGCGGCAGAGAAGGCGGCCUGGAGGGCGGCCCGGGGGAGAGACCUGAAGCUCGUCACCGUCUGCCCCGCGCUGGUCACGGGGCCGGGGUUUCGCCGCCGCAACUCCACCGCCUCCAUCGCGUACCUCAAGGGAUCUGGUGUGAUGCUCGCGGAUGGCGUCCUGGCGACGGCGAACGUGGCGACGGUGGCCGAGGCCCACGUCCGGGUGUACGAGGCGAUGGGCGCCAACACGGCCGGCGGCAGGUACAUCUGCUACGACCAUGUGAUCCGGAGAGCUGAGGAGUUCGCCGAGCUGGAGCGGCAGCUGGGGAUCCCGAGCAGAACGGCGGCAACGCAGAGCGUAGACGACGACGACCGUCCGGCGAGGUUCGAGCUCUGCAAAAGGAAGCUGGGGAGGCUCAUGUCCUCGAGGAGGAGGUGCACGUACGAUGACUAUUACUGCCCUGUUACGUUCCAAUAG
Molecule: ribosomal RNA, 1122 nt
Filed under: Triticum aestivum (bread wheat)
Lineage: Eukaryota; Viridiplantae; Streptophyta; Magnoliopsida; Poales; Poaceae
Description: partial small subunit ribosomal RNA
Source: RNAcentral